This 301-nucleotide ribosomal RNA is filed under the name uncultured bacterium. Its description in RNAcentral is "partial 16S ribosomal RNA". It matches the Rfam family "Bacterial small subunit ribosomal RNA", at positions 509 to 807 of the family's 1533-position model. The record is from RNAcentral.
CAGCCGCCGCGGGAAUACGGAGGGUGCAAGCGUUAUCCGGAUUUAUUGGGUUUAAAGGGUCCGUAGGCGGAUCUGUAAGUCAGUGGUGAAAUCUCACAGCUUAACUGUGAAACUGCCAUUGAUACUGCAGGUCUUGAGUAAAUUUGAAGUGGCUGGAAUAAGUAGUGUAGCGGUGAAAUGCAUAGAUAUUACUUAGAACACCAAUUGCGAAGGCAGGUCACUAAGAUUUAACUGACGCUGAUGGACGAAAGCGUGGGGAGCGAACAGGAUUAGAGACCCCGGUAGUCCCUGUCUCUUAUAC